This is a ribosomal RNA of 639 nucleotides. It matches the Rfam family "Bacterial small subunit ribosomal RNA", at positions 86 to 739 of the family's 1533-position model.
GGUGGAUUAGUGGCGAACGGGUGAGUAACACGUGAGUAACCUGCCCUUAACUCUGGGAUAAGCCUGGGAAACUGGGUCUAAUACCGGAUAGGAGCGCCUACCGCAUGGUGGGUGUUGGAAAGAUUUAUCGGUUUUGGAUGGACUCGCGGCCUAUCAGCUUGUUGGUGAGGUAAUGGCUCACCAAGGCGACGACGGGUAGCCGGCCUGAGAGGGUGACCGGCCACACUGGGACUGAGACACGGCCCAGACUCCUACGGGAGGCAGCAGUGGGGAAUAUUGCACAAUGGGCGCAAGCCUGAUGCAGCGACGCCGCGUGAGGGAUGACGGCCUUCGGGUUGUAAACCUCUUUCAGUAGGGAAGAAGCGAAAGUGACGGUACCUGCAGAAGAAGCACCGGCUAACUACGUGCCAGCAGCCGCGGUAAUACGUAGGGUGCGAGCGUUAUCCGGAAUUAUUGGGCGUAAAGAGCUCGUAGGCGGUUUGUCGCGUCUGUCGUGAAAGUCCGGGGCUUAACCCCGGAUCUGCGGUGGGUACGGGCAGACUAGAGUGCAGUAGGGGAGACUGGAAUUCCUGGUGUAGCGGUGGAAUGCGCAGAUAUCAGGAGGAACACCGAUGGCGAAGGCAGGUCUCUGGGCUGUAA